RNAcentral lists this ribosomal RNA (428 nucleotides) under uncultured bacterium. RNAcentral's name for it is "bacterial SSU rRNA". It matches the Rfam family "Bacterial small subunit ribosomal RNA", at positions 355 to 775 of the family's 1533-position model. The record is from RNAcentral.
UCGAGAAUCAUUCGCAAUGGGCGAAAGCCUGACGAUGCGACGCCGUGUGAGUGAUGAAGGCCUUCGGGUCGUAAAACUCUUUCGCCUGGGAACAAGAGAGGUUGGCUAACAUCCAACUAAUUUGAGGGUACCAGGAGAAGAAGCACCGGCUAACUCCGUGCCAGCAGCUGCGGUAAUACGGAGGGUGCGAGCAUUAAUCGGAUUUAUUGGGCGUAAAGGGCGCGUAGGCGGGAAGAUAAGUCAGAUGUGAAAUCCCGGGGCUCAACCCCGGAACAGCAUUUGAAACUGUCUUUCUUGAGGGUAGGCGGAGAAAAUGGAAUUCCACAAGUAGCGGUGAAAUGCGUAGAUAUGUGGAAGAACACCAGUGGCGAAGGCGAUUUUCUAGCUUAUUCCUGACGCUAAAGCGCGAAAGCAAGGGGAUCAAACAG